RNAcentral lists this ribosomal RNA (450 nucleotides) under uncultured bacterium. RNAcentral's name for it is "partial 16S ribosomal RNA". It matches the Rfam family "Bacterial small subunit ribosomal RNA", at positions 354 to 796 of the family's 1533-position model. The record is from RNAcentral.
GUGGGGAAUCUUCCGCAAUGGACGAAAGUCUGACGGAGCGACGCCGCGUGAGUGAAGAAGGCCUUCGGGUCGUAAAGCUCUGUCAUCAGGGACGAACGGCCGGUGGAGUGGAAAGCCACCGGAUUGACGGUACCUGAGAAGGAAGCCACGGCUAACUACGUGCCAGCAGCCGCGGUAAUACGUAGGUGGCAAGCGUUGUCCGGAAUUAUUGGGCGUAAAGCGCGCGCAGGUGGGAUCUUAAGUCCAUUUUUAAAGUUCGGAGCUCAACUCCGUGAUGGGAUGGAAACUGGGAUUCUUGAGUACCGGAGAGGAAAGCGGAAUUCCCCGUGUAGCGGUGAAAUGCGUAGAUAUGGGGAGGAACACCAGUGGCGAAGGCGGCUUUCUGGACGGUGUCUGACACUGAGGCGCGAAAGCCAGGGGAGCGAACGGGAUUAGAUACCCUGGUAGUCC